RNAcentral lists this ribosomal RNA (443 nucleotides) under uncultured bacterium. RNAcentral's name for it is "partial 16S ribosomal RNA". It matches the Rfam family "Bacterial small subunit ribosomal RNA", at positions 338 to 795 of the family's 1533-position model. The record is from RNAcentral.
CCUACGGGUGGCAGCAGUGGGGAAUAUUGGACAAUGGGCGCAACCCUGACCCAGCAACGCCGCGUGAAGGAAGAAGUCCCUCGGGUUGUAAACUUCUUUUGUCAGGGACGAAGAAAGUGACGGUACCUGACGAAUAAGCCACGGCUAAAUACGUGCCAGCAGCCGCGGUAAUUCGUAGGUGGCAAGCGUUCUCCGGAUUUACUGGGUGGAAAGGGCGUGUAGGCGGGAAUGCAAGUCAGAUGUGAACUUCCAGGGCUCAACCCUGGAACUGCAUUUGAAACUGUCGUGCUUGAGUGAUGGAGGGGCAGGCGGAAUUCCGUGUGUAGCGGUGAAAUGCGUAGAUAUACGGAGGAACACCAGUGGCGAAGGCGGCCUGCUGGACAUUAACUGACGCUGAGGCGCGAAAGCGUGGGGAGCAAACAGGAUUAGAUACCCGGGUAGUC